AAAACAAAAUAGAAAAGGUCCACUUGGUUCAUAUUCGAACCCCCCACCCCACCCACCCCGGUCCAGCUCACGCUACGCCCCUGUAAUUCUGAUAAUUCUUCACAGAAAACCCGUUACACUUUUCCACCUGCAGCAAAGGAUCUUUUACAUACACUUCCCCCCACAGGCAACACAUGCCAACUUUUGAUACACCAGUCGUGGGACACUGGUUGGGAUGUGACAAAACCCAGUCUAGGUCCACCGAGAUGAGCGCUCUACCUACUGAGCUAGAUCCGACCGCCAGACAGAAAGGAAUGCAGAUGGCAAAGAUCAAGAGUUAUCAGACAACUUAUUGAUAAAGUACGAUGUUUUAAAUAUAGUCUAAUGCGACCAGACAAAUCGAUUUUUGUCAUCUAUACAUGACAUUUGUCUGCCACUGACCACAAGGUGUCGUGGAGGGUCUACCUGCUGUCCAUAGGUGUGGGCAAUGAUUCUUCACCCAUAUGUUUAGUGUCUACCCCUCCAUCUACUACUACCAUCAUCAACAACAGUGACAACAUUACGACAAGCGACAACGACAAAAAAACACACAACGACAACAGCAACUUCGUUAGUAGUGUUACAGGUGGGUGACACGAUGUAGAUGUGACUGAUGACGUCAUGGCGUCCUUGACAUUGUACGAUUCCUCGCAUUCACAAAAAUGGAACGAAAAGGCCAAAAGUGUAUGAUCGGUGUACGAAGCCAAAAUUUGAUGGAAGGAAUUUGUAUGAUUCCUGCCAGAUAAUGGAAUGUCACACGAAAGAGUUCGUGGGUUGAUGGUUUCAAGUUACAUGUAUUGGUCACCUGGUUUCUUGAAUGGGAAUCACUGAAGGCCAAAAUGUUGAAGAACCAAUGGGGAAUAUGCUAUUCCUGUUUUUAAGAGGUUUUAGAAGAAAUGUUUUUGAAUAUUGCACACAAAAGAAAAUGCAUGCUUUAAAUGGGAAGAUGGAGGCGACCUAACAGUAUUAAGCAAAAAAUGGGCUCGACGAUGGAACUGAAUUCUACCAGUCUGCAGACUUGUUUCUAAAAUCGCAUCACUUUUCUUCCACUGAAGUGAUCGGAUUUCCUCCGACGUCCCGAAGCUAACGAGCCAAUUCCGUUCAAGUGAUUCUGUGAUUAGCUCGAUUGAUACCGGAGAAUCGGAGAGCAUUCGCAAACAGAAGAAUGGCAGGAGAAAUACUGUGACAAGAGCAACACUAGGGCCACUGAUUUAGAGCCAUUCCGAUGAAAGAUGACGGGAAUAAAUUUCAAUGUUUGACUUUCAACAAGAAAAGGGUUCCGUGCUGGAACAUAGUUUAAUUUCUUCGCACAAAGGGACGCUUUAUGGCUCUAAAAGUUUAGACUGAAGGCGAUAUAAUGGCGUGCUUCAUCUCAUGGAACUCGUCAGAACAAGAGAAACUACUGGAGAAAAAUGUCAUUGAUCGUUACAAAAAUCGCACAGGAAUCCUUGGAAUUUUAGCAGAAAAAUAAUUUAGUCAUUCGUUAUGAUUCUAUUGACAUCUGAAGAGUUGUAAUUCCAUCGACAAUUGAAAAUCAGUGACACAUACGUAUUAUGUAUUAAUCAAAAAACCUAAAAUUCCUGAGCUUUCUGCGGAAUGAAUACUUUUAAUUAACACAAAGAAGUAAUGAAAGAAAUUCCAAUGUGAAAUUUAUCUACACGAUUCUUCUGAAAAAAAUUCUUGGCGGGAAACGUAAACGCCAAAGCGUAACAUUUCUGAAACCUCCAGUGUAAACAUGGACGCCGACGUGAUAAUUACAGAGUGGCAUCAAAAAUAGAAAGACCGUUCCUUUUUUCUAUAGCUUCUAUUGCUUAAACCAUGAAUUUCUCAAAUAGUGAAACCGUAUCCACAAGAUGCUUUUAAAACGGGCAAUCCUUACUCGUAAUUAAAUACCAUUUUCACUCUCAAAGGUACGCAAAGAACAGAAUGAAUUGAAAUAAUGGAAAAUGUAUCUUUAAAGUCAGUUCUACAGAAAUGAAAGUUUAAUACGAUGGUAUUUAUUAUCCUUUCUCUUCUUAACAUUUUGUUAAAAAUCUAGUGGGUUUUUUUUCUUUCUUAUUUGGUAUAAGCUAUAAGCAACUAAAACUGAUUAUUAUUAUUUUUUUAAAUGAAAUUGUAUGAUCGUUCUGAUUUGUUUUCACUUAUUAGACUAUUUUCAAAAUGACGACAAAUGUUUAGAAACGAUUUCGAAGAUGACGAUUCUUAACAUUAAUAUCAAGUUGAAAGGUGAUUUGAUUAGCUCAGCAGCAUAUAAGCCACGGCCCUGUCUUUACCAUUAACACCACAGCAUGCAAUAACGCGGACACUACAUGUGGUGCAGGCACUCGAGAUGAGUCGCGUGCUUCAACAGACGCACGUGCCCGAUCCAUCACAUGUACUACAACCAUCUUUGUUUCCCGGGACACCUGGACAAGACCCAGAGGUCGUAGGUGGUAAACAAGGUGAUCAUGUAGGCAGGGUGGUCGGUGGGGGACGUGCUCAAGGAGACCUGACAACGUGACCUUGUUCAAAGUCGCGGGAUACGAAGAGGGAACGAUACGGGGUGGCUGCCCCUUAUCGUUUAGUAUUAAAACGAGAAAACCAG
This 2602-nucleotide long non-coding RNA is filed under the name Gigantopelta aegis. RNAcentral describes it as "uncharacterized LOC121370909, transcript variant X2". The record is from RNAcentral. Lineage: Eukaryota; Metazoa; Mollusca; Gastropoda; Neomphalida; Peltospiridae.